UGGGGAAUUUUGGACGAAUUGGGGGCAACCCGUGAUCCAGCAAUGCCGCGUGUGUGAAGAAGGCCUUCGGGUUGUAAAGCACUUUUGUCCGGAAAGAAAACGUCGUGGUUAAUACCCGUGGCGGCUGACGGUACCGGAAGAAUAAGCACCGGCUAACUACGUGCCAGCAGCCGCGGUAAUACGUAGGGUGCAAGCGUUAAUCGGAAUUACUGGGCGUAAAGCGUGCGCAGGCGGUCCGCUAAGACAGAUGUGAAAUCCCCGGGCUUAACCUGGGAACUGCAUUUGUGACUGGCGGGCUAGAGUAUGGCAGAGGGGGGUAGAAUUCCACGUGUAGCAGUGAAAUGCGUAGAGAUGUGGAGGAAUACCGAUGGCGAAGGCAGCCCCUGGGCCAAUACUGAGCUCAUGCACGAAAAGCGUGGGGAGCAAAACAGGAUUAGAUACCCUGGUAGUCCACGCCCUAAACGAUGUCAAAC
This 473-nucleotide ribosomal RNA is filed under the name uncultured bacterium. Its description in RNAcentral is "partial 16S ribosomal RNA". It matches the Rfam family "Bacterial small subunit ribosomal RNA", at positions 355 to 817 of the family's 1533-position model. The record is from RNAcentral.